CCAGUGAACAAUUAAACGGCCGCGGUACCCUAACCGUGCAAAGGUAGCAUAAUCAUUUGUCUACUAAUUAUAGACCUGCAUGAAAGGCAAAAUGAGGGUUUAACUGUCUCUUAUAAUGAAUCAAUUAAACUGAUCUCCUAGUAAAAAAGCUAGAAUUUCCACAUAAGACCAGAAGACCCUGUGAAGCUUAAACUAAACUAUUAAACCUUAUAAUAACCACUUUCGGUUGGGGCGACCUUGGAAAAAAAAAGAACUUCCAAAAACCAUGACUACCAUACCACCCAGGCUUACCAGCCAAUAAAUGACCCAGCACAGCUGAUCAAUGAACCAAGUUACUCCAGGGAUAACAGCGCAAUCCUCUUCAAGAGCCCAUAUCAAAAAGAGGGUUUACGACCUCGAUGUUGGAUCAGGACAUCCUAG
RNAcentral lists this ribosomal RNA (420 nucleotides) under Chironius monticola. Its description in RNAcentral is "partial 16S ribosomal RNA". It matches the Rfam family "Bacterial large subunit ribosomal RNA", at positions 1909 to 2550 of the family's 2925-position model. Lineage: Eukaryota; Metazoa; Chordata; Lepidosauria; Squamata; Colubridae. The record is from RNAcentral.